ACGGGUGAGUUACGCGUGAGAAUCUACCUUUUAGUGAAGAAUACCCUUGAGAAAUCGAGGUUAAUGCUGCAUACGUCCCUUCGGGGAGAAAGAUGGCCUCUUUGCUGUCGCUAAAAGAUGAGCUUGCGUGCUAUUAGCUAGUUGGUAGGGUAAAGGCCUACCAAGGCGAUGAUGGCUAGCCGGCCUGAGAGGGUGUACGGCCACACUGGAACUUAGACACGGUCCAGACUCCUACGGGAGGCAGCAGUGAGGAAUAUUGCGCAAUGGGCGAAAGCCUGACGCAGCGACGCCGCGUGGAGGAUGAAGGUCUUUGGAUUGUAAACUCCUGUUAAGUGGGAAGAAACGUUCACCUUUAAUAGAGGUGGAUAAUGACGGUACCAUUAUAGAAAGCACCGGCUAACCUCGUGCCAGCAGCCGCGGUAAUACGAGGGGUGCAAGCGUUAUUCGGAAUUAUUGGGCGUAAAGGGUGCGUAGGCUGCGUACUAAGUCAACUGUUAAAUUUCUCGGCCUAACUGAGAACAUGCAGUAGAUACUGGUAUGCUAGAGGGUGGAAGAGAGAAGUGGAAUUCUCGGAGUAGCGGUAAAA
This 586-nucleotide ribosomal RNA is filed under the name uncultured bacterium. RNAcentral describes it as "bacterial SSU rRNA". It matches the Rfam family "Bacterial small subunit ribosomal RNA", at positions 102 to 686 of the family's 1533-position model. The record is from RNAcentral.